Molecule: ribosomal RNA, 496 nt
Filed under: uncultured bacterium
Lineage: Bacteria
Description: partial 16S ribosomal RNA
Rfam family: Bacterial small subunit ribosomal RNA
Source: RNAcentral
GAUGAACGCUGGCGGCGUGCCUAAUACAUGCAAGUCGAGCGAACGGACGAGAAGCUUGCUUCUCUGAUGUUAGCGGCGGACGGGUGGGUAACACGUGGAUAACCUACCUAUAAGACUGGGAUAACUUCGGGAAACCGGAGCUAAUACCGGAUAAUAUUUUGAACCGCAUGGUUCAAAAGUGAAAGACGGUCUUGCUGUCACUUAUAGAUGGAUCCGCGCUGCAUUAGCUAGUUGGUAAGGUAACGGCUUACCAAGGCAACGAUGCAUAGCCGACCUGAGAGGGUGAUCGGCCACACUGGAACUGAGACACGGUCCAGACUCCUACGGGAGGCAGCAGCAGGGAAUCUUCCGCAAUGGGCGAAAGCCUGACGGAGCAACGCCGCGUGAGUGAUGAAGGUCUUCGGAUCGUAAAACUCUGUUAUUAGGGAAGAACAUAUGUGUAAGUAACUGUGCACAUCUUGACGGUACCUAAUCAGAAAGCCACGGCUAACUACGU